RNAcentral lists this unclassified non-coding RNA (706 nucleotides) under Hevea brasiliensis (rubber tree). Lineage: Eukaryota; Viridiplantae; Streptophyta; Magnoliopsida; Malpighiales; Euphorbiaceae. The record is from RNAcentral.
ACUUUCUGAAGGUCCACAUCUUUUAAGACAAAAACAUUAAGUGAAAGCAUUAUAAUUUUAGGUGAGAAAAUCUCACCAGGAUUCACAUAGAUUUUAGAGCAUUCAGACAAUUAAGUUCAAAUAAAACCAAAAUUUGCAUGCAAAGUUCUUGGGGUUGAAUGCAGCCUCAAAACUGUUUGGAGCCAUCUUAUUUUCAUACCACCAACCCAAACAAAAGUCAAAACACGAGUUUUAGCUACUUAGUAUCAAGAUAUUCAACUUUUCAUUAUCCCAUUCUACCCCAUGUUUCGAAGAUAUGCAAAAAGGGAUUGAUCUGCAUUAUGCACUUCCUUCUGCCUGCUUCCUUGCUUCUUCCCGCAUAACAGCUCUUACAUAUAUCUCAUAACAACAUCCUGCUACUACAACAAUAGUUAGAACAUCUCCCACCCUUUUGAGGGUUCGCACACUUUGUUUAUGUGAUUUGAAGCGUUUCAAGGAGGGAUCUGCUGCCAAGAGAGCCUUUUCACGAGCCCCGGGUUCGAUAUGGAUCCCACGUCGUGACAGCAUCAAUGAUUCAUCGGUCUUCUGAGGAUUGAGUCGAAGCUUCGAUAAAGCUGUGUUGUUGAGCAAAAACGCCAUUGAUUUUCACCGAAAUCGAACAGAGUAAUCGUAGAUGAAGAAGAUGAUUCUGAGUCUCCCGAAUACAGCACAAUAAGAGAGAAAUUCG